GUACACGCUGUGACUAGCAUAUCAAUAAGCGGAGGAAAAGAAACUAACAAGGAUUCCCCUAGUAACGGCGAGUGAAGCGGGAAGAGCUCAAAUUUGAAAUCUUAAAGGGUUUCCCUUUACGAAUUGUAGUUUAAAGAAGUGUUUUCUGUUGAGGUUUUGGUAAAAGUUCUUUGGAAUAGGACAUCAUAGAGGGUGAGAAUCCCGUAUUUGACCUUUACUUUCAACUUUGUGAUACACUUUCAAAGAGUCGGAUUGUUUGGGAAUGCAGUCCAAAAUGGGUGGUAAAUUUCAUCUAAAGCUAAAUAUUGGCGAGAGACCGAUAGCGAACAAGUACCGUGAGGGAAAGAUGAAAAGAACUUUGAAAAGAGAGUUAAACAGUACGUGAAAUUGUCAAAAGGGAAGCGUUUCGACACCAGUGUUGUUUUUCUGAAAAUCAAUUAAAGAACUGUUUAUGCUAAGUUGUUUAGACUUUAUCAGCUAACUGUUUAGUUUUGAGCUUUUCUUUAAUGCACUUUUCAGUUAACAAGUCAACAUCAAUUUCUUUUGCUGUAAAAAAGCUUGAGGAAGGUGGCUUGAGAUUCGUCUUAAGUGUUUAUAGCCUCUUGCCUAUGCAGUCGGAGAGAUUGAGGUCUGCAGCGUAGAUCCUUCGGGGCUAAAUGCAUUCGUGCUAAGUUAUAGCAUUUUAUAGACAACUUGUUGACUAUGAUUUGUCUUGUAGCUUACUCGCUUAUGUUAUUUUACCUACGCUUAGGAUGUUGAAGAUGUAGCACAUCAU
This 775-nucleotide ribosomal RNA is filed under the name uncultured Neocallimastigales. RNAcentral describes it as "partial large subunit ribosomal RNA". It matches the Rfam family "Eukaryotic large subunit ribosomal RNA", at positions 22 to 635 of the family's 3401-position model. Lineage: Eukaryota; Fungi; Neocallimastigomycota; Neocallimastigomycetes; Neocallimastigales. The record is from RNAcentral.